GGGGAUCUAUGGGGCGGGGGGAUCUAUGGGGCGGGGGAUCUAUGGGGCGGGGGAUCUAUGGGGUCUCUUCAAUCCCCCCCCCCUGCCCCAUUGCAGGUCCCAGUGAUGCUUCCUCCCCACAAGUGGUGGCUGAGAGUGACGUGGAUGAAGCCGAUGUGACCCCAAACCUGGGAGGCCCCAAAAAGCUCCUUUUUGACCCCAAAAAUCCCAUUAAUCGACCCCAAAACCGUCCCCAUAGGAGCCAUAAGGGGGCCCCAUUGACCCCAGACCCACAUAUAGGGGACCCUAUAAAGGACCCUAUAAAGGACCCUAUAAGGGACCCUAUAUUGGAUCCUAUAAGGGACCCUAUAAGAGACCCCAUAAGGGACCCCAUAAGUGACCCUAUAAGGGAUCCCAUAAGGGACCCUAUAGGGGACACUAUAAGGGACCCUAUAGGGGACACUAUAAGGGACCCCAUAAGUGAUCCCAUAAGGGAUCCUAUAAGAGACCCUAUAGGAGACCCUAUAAAGGACCCUAUAAGGGACCCUAUAGGGGACACUAUAAGGGACCCCAUAAGAGACCCCAUAAGAGACCCCAUAAGUGACCCUAUAAAGGACCCUAUAAUGGAUCCUAUAAGGGACCCCAUAAGAGACCCCAUAAGUGACCCUAUAAGGGACCCUAUAAAGGACCCUAUAAAGGACCCUAUAAAGGACCCUAUAAUGGACCCUAUAGGAGACCCUAUAAGGGACCCUAUAUUGGAUCCAAUAAGGGACCCUAUAAUGGACCCUAUAUUGGACCCUAUAAAGGACCCUAUAGGAGACCCUAUAAGGGACCCUAUAAAGGACCCUAUAAGGGACCCUAAAGAGCCCAGCAAUGGAUUUGGGGUGACGGAGGGGGAUGAUAUAGGGGCUGAGAGACCCCAUAAGGGCCAAGAGUUGGAUAAUGAGGGGGAUAUGGGGUCUAUGGGGCGGCCCCAUAAGCAUCAGCAGACCCCAAACCCACCCUAUAGGGGUCCUGGGUUUAUAGGGGGCGGCCAUAAGGAUAUAGGGGAUUUAUUUAGGAUCGACAGCGAUACGGAUGGGGACGAGGACAUUGAGUCUAUGGGGCGCCCCAUAGGGACCCCAAAAGGCUUCAAUGGGGCUGAUGGGGGGAUGGAGACCCCAAAUCCAGACCCUAAAGACCCCAUAAGACCCCAUAGACCCCAUAAGGAUCCAGCUGUGCCUAUGGAGACCCCAAAAGACCCUAAAGACCCCAUAAGACCCCAUAGACCCCAUAAACCCCAUAAGGACCCAGGAGACAUCAGAGACCCCAACGAGGACGGCGGAGCCAAAGCAGAAGUGGGCGGAGCCAGAGUGAAAAGGGGCGGAGCCAAAGCGAAAGGGGGCGGAGCCAAAGCAAAAAGAGGCGGAGCCAAAGAACAAGUGGGCGGCGCCAAAGCGAAAAGGGGUGGAGCUAAAGCAAAAGGAGGCGGAGCUAAGGCAGAAAGAGGCGGGGCUACGGCAGAAGUGGGCGUGGCUACGAUAAGCCCCGCCCCCUUGCGCCGCAGUCUCCGCCUAUUGGCCAAGCUCCUCCCACCUGACCCCGGAAGUGGGCGUGGCCAAGAAGAGCCCCGCCCCCAGAGGGGAGGCCACGCCCCUCCUCGUAAGAAAGCACGGGUGGGUGUGGCAGUGGGCGGGGCUUAAGGGUGGUGGGCGGGGCUAAGGGGUGGGGGCUGGAUGAUGAUUGGUGCGUUAAAGGGGCGGGGCUUAAUGCGGGAGAGGGGCGGGGCUUCGGGGUGGAUCCUGGCUUCUGAUUGGUGCGUUAAAGGGGCGGGGCUUAAUGAGGGAGUGGGCGGCGCUAAUGGGUGGGGGCUGGAUGCUGAUUGGUGCGUUGAAGGGGCGGGGCUUAAUGUGGGAGUGGGCGGGGCUAAUGGGUGGGGGCUGGGUGCUGAUUGGUGCGUUAAAGGGGCGGGGCUUAAUGUGGGAAAGGGGCGGGGCUUCGGGGUGGAUCCUGGCUUCUGAUUGGUGGGUUUAAUGAGGGGGGGGUGGGGCUUAAUGAGAAAGGCUCAUUGGAAGGGGGCGUGGUCUCAUUUGCAUAGCUCCGCCCACCGGAGGAGGAGCCUGAUGACGUCACCGGGCCUAAGCUCCGCCCACGAGGAAGCUCCGCCUCCUCUGGCCCCAAGGUUUGAGCCCCAUACCCCCCCCAUAGACCCCAUAGAGACCCCAUAGACCCCAUAGAGCCCCAUAUCCCCCCCAUAGAGCCCCAUAUCCCCCCCAUAGACCCCAUAUAGA
Coturnix japonica (Japanese quail) is the source of this 2249-nucleotide long non-coding RNA. The record is from Ensembl. NCBI's taxonomy places the organism in Eukaryota, Metazoa, Chordata, Aves, Galliformes, Phasianidae.